CCUACGGGUGGCAGCAGUGGGGAAUAUUGCACAAUGGGGGAAACCCUGAUGCAGCAACGCCGCGUGAAGGAAGAAGGUCUUCGGAUCGUAAAACUCUGUUCUUAGUGAAGAAGAAUGAUGGUAGCUAAUGAGCAAGCCAUGGGUAACUACGUGCCAGCAGCCGCGGUCAAACGCAGGCGGCAAGCGUUGUACGGAAUUACUGGGGGGAAAGGGGGCGGAGGCGGGAAGCAAAGUCAGCUGUGAAAACUACGGGGUUAACUUGAAGUAAGCCGUUGAACCUGGUUAUCUAGAGUGAAGUAGAGGAUAGCGGAAUUCCAGGUGUAGCGGUAAAAUGCGUAGAUAUUCGGAGGAACACCAGUGGCGAAGGCGGCCGACUGGGCUUUAACUGACGCUGAGGCACGAAAGUGUGGGGAGCAAACAGGAUUAGAUACCCGGGUAGUC
Molecule: ribosomal RNA, 441 nt
Filed under: uncultured bacterium
Lineage: Bacteria
Description: partial 16S ribosomal RNA
Rfam family: Bacterial small subunit ribosomal RNA
Source: RNAcentral